Molecule: ribosomal RNA, 621 nt
Filed under: uncultured crenarchaeote
Lineage: Archaea; Thermoproteati; Thermoproteota
Description: bacterial SSU rRNA
Rfam family: Archaeal small subunit ribosomal RNA
Source: RNAcentral
CAUUGUAGCAAUACAAGGCAUACGGCUCAGUAACGCGUAGUCCCCUAACCUAUGGACGGGAAUAACCUCGGGAAACUGAGAAUCAUGCCCGAUAGAACAUUAUGCCUGGAAUGGUUUAUGUUCCAAAUGAUUUAUCGCCGUAGGAUGGGACUGCGGCCUAUCAGUUUGUUGGUGAGGUAAUGGCCCACCAAGACUAUUACAGGUACGGGCUCUGAGAGGAGUAGCCCGGAGAUGGGUACUGAGACACGGACCCAGGCCCUAUGGGGCGCAGCAGGCGAGAAAACUUUGCAAUGUGCGAAAGCACGACAAGGUUAAUCCGAGUGGUUUCUGCUAAAGAAACCUUUUGUCAGUCCUAGAAACACUGAUGAAUAAGGGGUGGGCAAGUUCUGGUGUCAGCCGCCGCGGUAAAACCAGCACCUCAAGUGGUCAGGAUGAUUAUUGGGCCUAAAGCAUCCGUAGCCGGCUCUGUAAGUUUUCGGUUAAAUCUGUACGCUCAACGUACAGGCUGCCGGGAAUACUGCAGAGCUAGGGAGUGGGAGAGGUAGACGGUACUCGGUAGGAAGGGGUAAAAUCCUUUGAUCUAUUGAUGACCACCUGUGGCGAAGGCGGUCUACCAGAACA